This is a long non-coding RNA of Onychostoma macrolepis, 827 nucleotides long. RefSeq lists it as uncharacterized. The transcript is spliced from 3 exons. Lineage: Eukaryota; Metazoa; Chordata; Actinopteri; Cypriniformes; Cyprinidae. The record is from RefSeq and is a predicted model, not a curated record.
GACUUAAUUUGUGAGGUAUGAAUAUUUUGCUUAAAUCAUUUUCCAUCCUGAAAAAUACUGCCAAUAAAAGUUUUAUUACGUCGAGAUGUCAGUUUAUGUCAGAGAAUAUACGUGCUUUUCAUUUUAGAUAAGCUGAGCUGUGAAAGGCAGACGAACCAGAUCGAAUGUUUUGGGAACUUUGUAAGGUGUUUUUGUUCAGUCAACAAAUCAUUGUUCAGUGAAACGCACAAACACGCACAAAAAAAAAAAAACAGGAUGUCCCUUUGCACACACCGUAUGUAAAUGCAGCAGCGCCAAAGACAGACGAACGUUGAGGAGCUGACGACAGUGGCGACUUUGUGAGGACAAUGACUUGAAGAAAGCUGAGAGAGACAUGGCUAAUACAGUCAUUGGAAUUUUCAUUGUCCGAGCUGAAGGUGCAGGACCUGAACAACCACCAUUGGAUGUUGGGAUCAUUGUUGAAGGAGUGAAAGUGCUUCAGCAUCUACGAGAUGUCACCAAGGCUUGUGCUCUCCUCUUGGGAGUAAUAUAUACCUUGAAUCUUAGCUAUCCAUGUGAUCUCAAGUACACCUUUGAGUUUCUUCAAAAGGUGUUACUGGAACUUGAUGCAAGCAAACUUUCACACAAAAUGCAGGUACUUAAAAAUAAACUUAUUGAAUAAUUAACUGAUGUUUAGUUUAAUUCCAGUACAAUACUGCUGUUUGAAAAACAAUAUUGUUUUUGUGUUUAUUUUUUUGUAUAAAAAAACAUGCCUCAUUCCUUUCUAUGAGGGUCAAGUUCUGUAGCACUUUGGGGUGCGUUAGACACGAAUUGUCAUGCUUGUAGAA